Molecule: transfer RNA, 69 nt
Filed under: Nasonia giraulti
Lineage: Eukaryota; Metazoa; Arthropoda; Insecta; Hymenoptera; Pteromalidae
Description: tRNA-Asn
Source: RNAcentral
UUAAUUGAAUCCAAAAUAGCGGAAAAUUAGUGUUAAUGAUUAAAUUGAAAUUUAUAUUUCCAAUUAAAU